RNAcentral lists this ribosomal RNA (465 nucleotides) under uncultured bacterium. RNAcentral's name for it is "partial 16S ribosomal RNA". It matches the Rfam family "Bacterial small subunit ribosomal RNA", at positions 28 to 507 of the family's 1533-position model. The record is from RNAcentral.
GACGAACGCUGGCGGCGUGCUUAACACAUGCAAGUCGAACGGAAAGGCCCUGCUUGCAGGGUACUCGAGUGGCGCACGGGUGAGUAACACGUGGGUGAUCUGCCCUGCACUUCGGGGUAAGCCUGGGGAACUGGGUCUAAUACCGGGUAGGAGCCCUUUUUCGUGUGGUUGUUGGAUGGUUUUUUCGGUGUAGGAUGAGCUCGCGGCCUAUCAGCUUGUUGGUGGGGUAAUGGCCUACCAAGGCGGCGACGGGUGGCCGGCCUGAGAGGGUGGACGGCCACAUUGGGGAUGGGGUAACGCCCAGACUCCUAAGGGAGGCAGCAGUGGGGAAUAUUGCACAAUGGGGGCAAGCCUGAUGCAGCGACGCCGCGUGGGGGAUGACGGCCUUCGGGGUGUAAACCCCUUUCGCCAGGGACGAAGCCGUUUGUGACGGUACCUAGAUAAGAAGCACCGGCUAACUACGUG